ACGCUGGCGGCAGGCCUAACACAUGCAAGUCGAGCGGAUGAAGGGAGCUUGCUCCCUGAUUCAGCGGCGGACGGGUGAGUAAUGCCUAGGAAUCUGCCUGGUAGUGGGGGACAACGUCUCGAAAGGGACGCUAAUACCGCAUACGUCCUACGGGAGAAAGUGGGGGAUCUUCGGACCUCACGCUAUCAGAUGAGCCUAGGUCGGAUUAGCUAGUUGGUGAGGUAAUGGCUCACCAAGGCGACGAUCCGUAACUGGUCUGAGAGGAUGAUCAGUCACACUGGAACUGAGACACGGUCCAGACUCCUACGGGAGGCAGCAGUGGGGAAUAUUGGACAAUGGGCGAAAGCCUGAUCCAGCCAUGCCGCGUGUGUGAAGAAGGUCUUCGGAUUGUAAAGCACUUUAAGUUGGGAGGAAGGGCAUUAACCUAAUACGUUAGUGUUUUGACGUUACCGACAGAAUAAGCACCGGCUAACUCUGUGCCAGCAGCCGCGGUAAUACAGAGGGUGCAAGCGUUAAUCGGAAUUACUGGGCGUAAAGCGCGCGUAGGUGGUUUGUUAAGUUGGAUGUGAAAUCCCCGGGCUCAACCUGGGAACUGCAUCCAAAACUGGCAAGCUAGAGUAGGGCAGAGGGUGGUGGAAUUUCCUGUGUAGCGGUGAAAUGCGUAGAUAUAGGAAGGAACACCAGUGGCGAAGGCGACCACCUGGGCUCAUACUGACACUGAGGUGCGGAAGCGUGGGGAGCAAAC
Molecule: ribosomal RNA, 745 nt
Filed under: uncultured bacterium
Lineage: Bacteria
Description: bacterial SSU rRNA
Rfam family: Bacterial small subunit ribosomal RNA
Source: RNAcentral